UGUCCAGUAGCACCUUAGAGACCAACUAAGUAUGUUCUGGGUAUUAUUUUUCGUGUGCAUGCACACUUCUUCAGAUACACAUGAAAGCUUAUACCCAGAACAUACUUAGUUGGUCUCUAAGGUGCUACUGGACA
Podarcis lilfordi (Lilford's wall lizard) is the source of this 134-nucleotide non-coding RNA. Lineage: Eukaryota; Metazoa; Chordata; Lepidosauria; Squamata; Lacertidae. The record is from the annotation of a GenBank genome assembly.